GAUGAACGCUGGCGGCGUGCCUAAUACAUGCAAGUCGAGCGAACAGACGAGGAGCUUGCUCCUCUGACGUUAGCGGCGGACGGGUGAGUAACACGUGGAUGACCUACCUAUAAGACUGGGAUAACUUCGGGAAACCGGAGCUAAUACCGGAUAAUAUAUUGAACCGCAUGGUUCAAUAGUGAAAGACGGUUUUGCUGUCACUUAUAGAUGGAUCCGCGCCGCAUUAGCUAGUUGGUAAGGUAACGGCUUACCAAGGCAACGAUGCGUAGCCGACCUGAGAGGGUGAUCGGCCACACUGGAACUGAGACACGGUCCAGACUCCUACGGGAGGCAGCAGUAGGGAACCUUCCGCAAUGGGCGAAAGCCUGACGGAGCAACGCCGCGUGAGUGAUGAAGGUCUUCGGAUCGUAAAACUCUGUUAUUAGGGAAGAACAAAUGUGUAAGUAACUAUGCACGUCUUGACGGUACCUAAUCAGAAAGCCACGGCUAACUACGUG
RNAcentral lists this ribosomal RNA (497 nucleotides) under uncultured bacterium. RNAcentral's name for it is "partial 16S ribosomal RNA". It matches the Rfam family "Bacterial small subunit ribosomal RNA", at positions 28 to 507 of the family's 1533-position model. The record is from RNAcentral.